This 513-nucleotide ribosomal RNA is filed under the name uncultured bacterium. RNAcentral describes it as "partial 16S ribosomal RNA". It matches the Rfam family "Bacterial small subunit ribosomal RNA", at positions 28 to 507 of the family's 1533-position model. The record is from RNAcentral.
GACGAACGCUGACGGCGUGCUUAACACAUGCAAGUCGAACGAGAGCGUAGAGAAAGCUUGCUUUUUCUACAAUCUAGUGGCAAACGGGUGAGUAACGCGUAAACAACCUGCCCUACGGAUGGGGACAACAGCUGGAAACGGCUGCUAAUACCGAAUACGUUCCGAAAGUCGCAUGACUAUCGGAAGAAAGGAUGGCCUCUAUUUAUAAGCUAUCGCCGGAGGAGGGGUUUGCGUCUGAUUAGCUAGUUGGAGGGGUAACGGCCCACCAAGGCGACGAUCAGUAGCCGGUCUGAGAGGAUGAACGGCCACAUUGGAACUGAGACACGGUCCAGACUCCUACGGGAGGCAGCAGUGGGGAAUCUUCCGCAAUGGGCGAAAGCCUGACGGAGCAACGCCGCGUGAGUGAAGACGGCCUUCGGGUUGUAAAGCUCUGUUAUACGGGACGAAUAAUCUUGUGGUUAAUACCCAUGAGAAGUGACGGUACCGUAAGAGAAAGCCACGGCUAACUACGUG